GAAAACCUCACUCUCAGCCUCUGGUUCUUAGCAUAGGGCCUUUUUUCCAUGCUAAAACAACCUGUGGCCUUUAAAUUAUCAGUAACUUGAAAUGCUGGAAAAUUGGGGUUUUGCCAUAUCACUCUGACAGUUGAUGAGGAAAGGCUAUUUUUCAACAUUGAGACAAGAGACUUCAUUUUUUUCUUUUUAUUUCUUCCAAACAGAUAGAACAGUUGAAACAAAAGGCAGAUAAGAGAGUCAGAAGUGUUCGCUAUAAAGUAAUAGAAGAUUAUAGUGGUGCCUGCUGCCCUUUGAAUAAAGGAAUCAAAACCUUCUUCACAAGCCCCUGCACUGAAGAGCCUCGAAUACAGCUGCAAAAAGGGGAAUUCAUUUUAGCCACAAGAGGUUUACGAUACUGGUUGUAUGGAGACAAAAUUCUUGAUGAUUCCUUUAUAGAAGGUGUUUCAAGAAUAAGGGGAUGGUUCCCUAGAAAAUGUGUGGAAAAGUGUCCCUGUGAUGCUGAAACAGAUCAAGCCCCAGAGGGGGAGAAGAAAAAUA
Molecule: small RNA, 537 nt
Filed under: Pongo abelii (Sumatran orangutan)
Lineage: Eukaryota; Metazoa; Chordata; Mammalia; Primates; Hominidae
Description: processed transcript
Source: RNAcentral